Molecule: ribosomal RNA, 253 nt
Filed under: uncultured bacterium
Lineage: Bacteria
Description: partial 16S ribosomal RNA
Rfam family: Bacterial small subunit ribosomal RNA
Source: RNAcentral
CACGUAGGGCGCAAGCGUUGUCCGGAAUUAUUGGGCGUAAAGAGCUCGUAGGCGGUCUGUUACGUCUGCUGUGAAAACUCAGGGCUUAACCCUGGGCUUGCAGUGGAUACGGGCAGACUAGAGGCAGGUAGGGGAGAAUGGAAUUCCCGGUGUAGCGGUGAAAUGCGCAGAUAUCGGGAGGAACACCGGUGGCGAAGGCGGUUCUCUGGGCCUUACCUGACGCUGAGGAGCGAAAGCGUGGGGAGCGAACAGG